This 253-nucleotide ribosomal RNA is filed under the name uncultured bacterium. RNAcentral's name for it is "partial 16S ribosomal RNA". It matches the Rfam family "Bacterial small subunit ribosomal RNA", at positions 524 to 776 of the family's 1533-position model. The record is from RNAcentral.
UACAGAGGUCUCAACCGUUGUUCGGAUUCAUUGGGCGUAAAGGGUGCGUAGGCGGUCGCGCAAGUCGGAUGUGAAAUCUCAGGGCUCAACCCUGAAACUGCAUUCGAUACUGCGUGGCUAGAGUGCUGGAGAGGAGACUGGAAUUUACGGUGUAGCAGUGAAAUGCGUAGAUAUCGUAAGGAAGACCAGUGGCGAAGGCGAGUCUCUGGACAGCAACUGACGCUGAGAAGCGAAAGCAUGGGGAGCGAACAGG